RNAcentral lists this ribosomal RNA (520 nucleotides) under uncultured Glomus. RNAcentral describes it as "SSU rRNA". It matches the Rfam family "Eukaryotic small subunit ribosomal RNA", at positions 569 to 1091 of the family's 1831-position model. Lineage: Eukaryota; Fungi; Glomeromycota; Glomeromycetes; Glomerales; Glomeraceae. The record is from RNAcentral.
AGCAGCCGCGGUAAUUCCAGCUCCAAUAGCGUAUAUUAAAGUUGUUGCAGUUAAAAAGCUCGUAGUUGAAUUUCGAGAUCAAAUUGUUGGUCGUGCCUUGGUACGCACUGGCAUUAUUGGUUUCUCCCUUCUGAAGAACCAAGAUGUCAUUAAUUUGGUGUCUUGGGGAAUCAGGACUGUUACUUUGAAAAAAUUAGAGUGUUUAAAGCAGGCUCGCGCUUGAAUACAUUAGCAUGGAAUAAUGAAAUAGGACGUUUGACCCUAUUUUGUUGGUUUCUAGGAUCGACGUAAUGGUUAAUAGGGAUAGUUGGGGGCAUUAGUAUUCAAUUGUCAGAGGUGAAAUUCUUGGAUUUAUUGAAGACUAACUACUGCGAAAGCAUUUGCCAAGGAUGUUUUCAUUAAUCAAGAACGAAAGUUAGGGGAUCGAAGACGAUCAGAUACCGUCGUAGUCUUAACCAUAAACUAUGCCGACUAGGGAUCGGAUGAUGUUAAUUUUUAAUGUACUCAUUCGGCGCCUUAC